RNAcentral lists this non-coding RNA (107 nucleotides) under pig gut metagenome. Its description in RNAcentral is "FMN riboswitch (RFN element)". It matches the Rfam family "FMN riboswitch aptamer (RFN element)". From Rfam's summary of the family: The RFN element is a highly conserved domain that is found frequently in the 5'-untranslated regions of prokaryotic mRNAs that encode for flavin mononucleotide (FMN) biosynthesis and transport proteins. This element is a metabolite-dependent riboswitch that directly binds FMN in the absence of proteins. The record is from RNAcentral.
UUCUUCGAGGCGGGGUGAAAUUCCCCACCGGCGGUAAAGUCCGCAAGCCAUUAGGCACGAUUCGGUGAAAUUCCGAAACCGACGGUAUAGUCCGGAUGUGAGAAGAA